RNAcentral lists this ribosomal RNA (260 nucleotides) under uncultured bacterium. Its description in RNAcentral is "partial 16S ribosomal RNA". It matches the Rfam family "Bacterial small subunit ribosomal RNA", at positions 793 to 1055 of the family's 1533-position model. The record is from RNAcentral.
GUCCACGCUGUAAACGAUGAAUACUAGGUGUUGGAUCGCAAGAUUCAGUGCCGCAGCUAACGCAUUAAGUAUUCCACCUGGGGAGUACGAUCGCAAGGUUGAAACUCAAAGGAAUUGACGGGGGCCCCGCACAAGCAGUGGAGCAUGUGGUUUAAUUCGAUGCAACGCGAAGAACCUUACCUAGGCUUGAAAGGCAAGUGACCGGCUGUGAAAGCAGCCUUCCCGCAAGGGCACUUGUACAGGUGCUGCAUGGCUGUCGU